GAACCGCAUGGUUCAAAAGUGAAAGACGGUCUUGCUGUCACUUAUAGAUGGAUCCGCGCUGCAUUAGCUAGUUGGUAAGGUAACGGCUUACCAAGGCAACGAUGCAUAGCCGACCUGAGAGGGUGAUCGGCCACACUGGAACUGAGACACGGUCCAGACUCCUACGGGAGGCAGCAGUAGGGAAUCUUCCGCAAUGGGCGAAAGCCUGACGGAGCAACGCCGCGUGAGUGAUGAAGGUCUUCGGAUCGUAAAACUCUGUUAUUAGGGAAGAACAUAUGUGUAAGUAACUGUGCACAUCUUGACGGUACCUAAUCAGAAAGCCACGGCUAACUACGUGCCAGCAGCCGCGGUAAUACGUAGGUGGCAAGCGUUAUCCGGAAUUAUUGGGCGUAAAGCGCGCGUAGGCGGUUUUUUAAGUCUGAUGUGAAAGCCCACGGCUCAACCGUGGAGGGUCAUUGGAAACUGGAAAACUUGAGUGCAGAAGAGGAAAGUGGAAUUCCAUGUGUAGCGGUGAAAUGCGCAGAGAUAUGGAGGAACACCAGUGGCGAAGGCGACUUUCUGGUCUGUAACUGACGCUGAUGUGCGAAAGCGUGGGGAUCAAACAGGAUUAGAUACCCUGGUAGUCCACGCCGUAAACGAUGAGUGCUAAGUGUUAGGGGGUUUCCGCCCCUUAGUGCUGCAGCUAACGCAUUAAGCACUCCGCCUGGGGAGUACGACCGCAAGGUUGAAACUCAAAGGAAUUGACGGGGACCCGCACAAGCGGUGGAGCAUGUGGUUUAAUUCGAAGCAACGCGAAGAACCUUACCAAAUCUUGACAUCCUUUGACAACUCUAGAGAUAGAGCCUUCCCCUUCGGGGGACAAAGUGACAGGUGGUGCAUGGUUGUCGUCAGCUCGUGUCGUGAGAUGUUGGGUUAAGUCCCGCAACGAGCGCAACCCUUAAGCUUAGUUGCCAUCAUUAAGUUGGGCACUCUAAGUUGACUGCCGGUGACAAACCGGAGGAAGGUGGGGAUGACGUCAAAUCAUCAUGCCCCUUAUGAUUUGGGCUACACACGUGCUACAAUGGACAAUACAAAGGGCAGCGAAACCGCGAGGUCAAGCAAAUCCCAUAAAGUUGUUCUCAGUUCGGAUUGUAGUCUGCAACUCGACUACAUGAAGCUGGAAUCGCUAGUAAUCGUAGAUCAGCAUGCUACGGUGAAUACGUUCCCGGGUCUUGUACACACCGCCCGUCACACCACGAGAGUUUGUAACACCCGAAGCCGGUGGAGUAACCUUUUAGGAGCUAGCCGUCGAAGGUGGGACAAAUGAUUGGGGUGAAGUCGUAACAAGGUAGCCGUAUCGGAAGGUGCGGCUGGAUCACCU
Molecule: ribosomal RNA, 1360 nt
Filed under: Staphylococcus aureus
Lineage: Bacteria; Bacillati; Bacillota; Bacilli; Caryophanales; Staphylococcaceae
Description: bacterial SSU rRNA
Rfam family: Bacterial small subunit ribosomal RNA
Source: RNAcentral